This is a long non-coding RNA of Dipodomys spectabilis (banner-tailed kangaroo rat), 560 nucleotides long. RefSeq lists it as uncharacterized. The record is from RefSeq and is a predicted model, not a curated record. The transcript is spliced from 3 exons. Lineage: Eukaryota; Metazoa; Chordata; Mammalia; Rodentia; Heteromyidae.
CAAAUAAUCAGAUAUAAUGGAUUAACAUAUGCCCAUUAGGAGUUAAAUACAGAUGAUACAUGCCAAACAAAAUGUAACAAGCAGACAGCAUGUUACAAAUAAACUGAUUUUUAUUAUUUAAAGAAAUCUGAGGUUAAAUCCUUCACCAAAGCACAGUAUAAAAACAUAUACUCCCUUCUCUUAUUUUUCCAUUUUGUAAACCUUGAAUUUCAAAUAUUAGGAAAGGAAAGCAGUUCAUUGAAUAAAUACAAAUGACUAGAAGUACAGUAUUUUUAAUGUUCAACCUCACCAAUACCAGGAGAUGGAAACUGAAACAAGAGGUCCUUUCUAGCUUUAGGUUGGCAAAAAUGUAAGACUUACAUGACCCAACAAUUUCACUAUCAAAAGUGUAGGGAAAGGAACACUCUCACAUUAAUACUGAAGAUGUAAACUGGAACUCUUUAGAAGAGCAACUUCACAGUGCUCAUUAAAAAUUUAAAUUAGACAUAUACACUUCUCAAGAUCUAUGGUAGAAAAAACUAGUGUCUGAGGAUGCUCUCUCUGGUCAUGUUUGUAUAAAA